Molecule: long non-coding RNA, 968 nt
Organism: Tarenaya hassleriana
Lineage: Eukaryota; Viridiplantae; Streptophyta; Magnoliopsida; Brassicales; Cleomaceae
Exons: 4
Source: RefSeq, a predicted model, not a curated record
UAAGAUCCCAGAAAAAGAAGUUCAGUAUUUGGCUGAGGUAGGGCGGGCUAGGGUUUUGAGCUUCAUCACCAUUCGUGAAGGACUCCAUCGAGGAAGAAGAUGAUGCGGGACGAGGCGAGGAGAUCGGAGAAGAAGGCGAACGACAUGCGUACAUUCCAUUUUUCUGGCGGUGAGGAAUGAAUGCAACUGUGUGUGACCUAAUUUCGAUCGUUAUCGGGAUUUAAUUAAGCUUCGGCGUAGAGGAAAAUAUGUUUUUGAGAUCUCAACCACCAGCGAACAGAGGUUAGCUUUUCAUGCAGCGGAACUUGAAAUGACGAAGAGGAUUCCUCAUAUGCAGAGGAAGAGGGACGAUGAGGAUGAGUUUGACGUUAAUGGCAGUGAUGAUGAAGCAAUGGAAACGAUUGCAAAGCAAUUUGGAAUAACAAGAAAUCAAAAGAGGAAGAUAAAAUGCAAAAUGAACUGAUCAAGGGAGAACCUUCGAUCCUAAGUUAACAUGCGCAUUGACAUCGAUCAUGUUUUUCCCUCGUUGCUUAGAUAGGCCAUAUAUAUUCUCGAUGCCCAACAUGUUCAUCCUGCAUCUGGUGCAUCUCUUGAUGAGGAAAAGAGUGCACAAUCGGUAAAAUCGACAGUGAGCACUAGCGAAAGCUAUCCAAAGCAGUUCCUGACUGAACAGGCGCAGGCUGAGAAGAAAGAGUCUGAAGAGAAGUAUGAACAAACAAACAGCCCAUUAAACAAAGUAAGACCCCUAAUUGUUAUGUUAUCUUUGCAUGUUACCAAGUCAGUCAUAUUAAUCUCUCCUUUUCUUUGCUUAGAAACUGAGAUCUGGGCGUCAUAAAAUGGAGGAUGAUUAUUGAUGGAUAUAAAUAAUGUUCCUAAAGCUGCUUCAGUAUGUGGUUUGGUGCCAAUAAUGAUAUAUUAUAUGCUAAUUUUGAUGACAUCUUUAUUAAUGAUGAGAGAUUAGACCGACU